GAGCGGCGGGCGGAGCUGCGGAGAGAGCGCGCUGCCGAUUGGCUGCUGGCUGGCUGGCGUGGGCCGGCUACUGGGAUUGGCCCGUCCGCUCCGCCUCCCGCCCACUUAGGCCGCUUUCCUAUUGGAUGCACUCCCGGGACGUCCGGCCCCCUGCCUGAGGCCCCGCUGAUUGGCUGAUCUGACAGGCUACGGUCUUUUCCCCCGCUGGCGGCGAAGGCCCUGGCCUGCCCAUGGUUAAUGCAUCCGUUAGGCUCCGCGCCAGGCGCAGGUGAGAUAAGGCCUCCUACCCUAGAACUCGCGGCAGUCCCCCUGCCUCAGCCUCCCUAGAGUGGGGACUUACGGACUAAACCGACAAGUUUCGUGCCGGGAUUCCUGGAGAAAUGCCUGAAUCCAGGUCAAAGCUGGGAGAGAACAACACCUCUUGGAAGAAUAUGCUCCAGAAAGGGAGAAUCCCAAGACAAACCAGGUCCUUCCUAAAAGACCACUUACCAGACAAAAAAUCAUUCGUUGAAGAACGACUGGCAACAAGAGGAAACAACCGGGAACACCUAGACAUAUCUCUUACAUGAUUGUGAUUCCAAAUAAAUGGCAAGGCUGCGGCCAGCUAGGUGCAUCAUUGGUUAAAGGCACUUGUUACCAAGCCUGAAGACAGUCAUGUAUCCAGUAGCCACACAGUAGGAAAGAUCCAAUUGCUUCGGAUUUCCUCUGACCUCCGCAUGCCCACACAUAUACACACACAACAUUUUUUAAAUGCAUAAAUGUAAUAAGAGACUGAGAGAGGGCUGUUUUAGCUUAAGAGAAACUCAAAACAUGAUGACUAACUGUGAUUGUUUUUCUUUGAUUCUGAAUAACUCAAAUAGAAACAUUUUAGGGACAACUGAAAUUGAAUCUGAUAUUACACACUUGUUAAAUGAAUAGUGGUCUGUACUUGUGCAGAAAUGGGUUUAUUUUAUCAUGUAUAUUACAUAUUUAGGCUGACACAAUUGUUAUCUAUAAUAAAAUAAUUCAGAAAAAUAAAAAGACAGCUAAAUGCUAA
Meriones unguiculatus (Mongolian gerbil) is the source of this 1036-nucleotide long non-coding RNA. RefSeq lists it as uncharacterized. The transcript is spliced from 3 exons. Lineage: Eukaryota; Metazoa; Chordata; Mammalia; Rodentia; Muridae. The record is from RefSeq and is a predicted model, not a curated record.